RNAcentral lists this ribosomal RNA (456 nucleotides) under uncultured bacterium. RNAcentral's name for it is "bacterial LSU rRNA". It matches the Rfam family "Bacterial large subunit ribosomal RNA", at positions 20 to 516 of the family's 2925-position model. The record is from RNAcentral.
CAUGGUGGAUGCCUUGGCGAUUACAGGCGAUGAAGGACGUAGUAGCCUGCGAAAAGCUACGGGGAGCUGGCAAACGAGCUUUGAUCCGUAGAUAUCCGAAUGGGGAAACCCGGCGCGCAAGCGUCACUCCCACCUGAAUAUAUAGGGUGGGUAGAGCGAACGCAGCGAACUGAAACAUCUAAGUAGCUGCAGGAAAAGAAAUCAACCGAGAUUCCCAAAGUAGUGGCGAGCGAAAUGGGAAGAGCCUGUAUGUGAUAGUCAACUGGUUAGUGGAACGGAAUGGAAAGUCCGGCGAUAGAGGGUGAUAGCCCCGUACACGAAAACUGGUUGGUGGUACUGAGCAUACGACAAGUAGGGCGGGGCACGAGAAACCUUGUCUGAACAUGGGGGGACCAUCCUCCAAGGCUAAAUACUCGUAAUCGACCGAUAGUGAACCAGUACCGUGAGGGAAAGGCG